GGCUUUUUGAAUAUAAUUUAAGGUCGGGCCUGCCCAAUGAUUAAAUUAAAUGGCCGCGGUAUAUUGACCGUGCAAAGGUAGCAUAAUCAUUAGUUUUUUAAUUGAAAGCUUGUAUGAAAGGUUUAAUGAGAAAAAUACUGUCUCUAUUUAAAUUUGUUAAAAUUUUAUUUUUAAGUAAAAAAGCUUAAAUAUGUAUUGAAGACGAGAAGACCCUAUAGAGUUUUAUAUUUUGUUUGGUAAAUAAUUAUUUAGAAUUUUAAAGAUUUGUUAAAUAAAGUAUUUGAUUGGGGUGAUUGAAAAAUUAAUAAAACUUUUUUUGUAUUUUUACAUUGAUAAGUGAGUAAUUGAUCCUUUAUUUAAGAUUAGAAGAUAAAAUUACCUUAGGGAUAACAGCGUAAUUUUUUUUAGAGUUCUUAUCGAAAAGAAAGAUUGCGACCUCGAUGUUGGAUUAAAAUUAAUUAUUGGUGUAGAGGCUAAUAAAUUAGGUCUGUUCGACCUUUAAAUUUUUACAUGAUCUGAGUUUAAACCGGUGUAAG
This 536-nucleotide ribosomal RNA is filed under the name Acalles globulipennis. Its description in RNAcentral is "partial 16S ribosomal RNA". It matches the Rfam family "Bacterial large subunit ribosomal RNA", at positions 1819 to 2625 of the family's 2925-position model. The record is from RNAcentral. Lineage: Eukaryota; Metazoa; Arthropoda; Insecta; Coleoptera; Curculionidae.